GUAGUACUCCCUUCAUCCCGAAAUACUUGCCAAUGAAAUGGAUGUAUCUAGAUACAUACCGUCCCGAAAUACUUGUCAAUGAAAUGGAUGUAUCUAGAUAUGUAUCUAGAUACAUCCAUUUCAUUGACAAGUAUUUCGGGACGGAGGGAGUACCUC
This is a non-coding RNA of Triticum aestivum (bread wheat), 156 nucleotides long. Lineage: Eukaryota; Viridiplantae; Streptophyta; Magnoliopsida; Poales; Poaceae. The record is from Rfam.